RNAcentral lists this ribosomal RNA (700 nucleotides) under uncultured fungus. RNAcentral's name for it is "eukaryotic LSU rRNA". The stretch from base 302 to 455 matches the Rfam family "5.8S ribosomal RNA". The record is from RNAcentral. Lineage: Eukaryota; Fungi.
AAGGAUCAUUAUUGAAUUAUGUUUUCUAGAUGGGUUGUAGCUGGCUCUUUGGAGUAUGUGCACGCCUGUCUGGACUUCAUUUUCAUCCACCUGUGCACCUUUUGUAGUCUUUUUCAGGUAUUGGAGGAAGUGGUCAGCCUAUCAGCUCUUUGCUGGAUGUAAGGACUUGCAGUGUGGAAACAGUGCUGUCCUUUACCUUGGCCAUGGAAUCUUUUUCCUGUUAGAGUCUAUGUUAUUCAUUAUACUCUUAGAAUGUCAUUGAAUGUCUUUACAUGGGCUAUGCCUAUGAAAAUUAUUAUACAACUUUCAGCAACGGAUCUCUUGGCUCUCGCAUCGAUGAAGAACGCAGCGAAAUGCGAUAAGUAAUGUGAAUUGCAGAAUUCAGUGAAUCAUCGAAUCUUUGAACGCAUCUUGCGCUCCUUGGUAUUCCGAGGAGCAUGCCUGUUUGAGUGUCAUUAUAUUCUCAACUCUCCAAUACUUUGUUGUAAAGGAGAGCUUGGAUUGUGGAGGUUUGCUGGCUCCUUACUUGGGGUCAGCUCCUCUGAAAUGCAUUAGCGGAAUCGUCUGCGAUCUGCCACAAGUGUGAUAACUUAUCUACACUGGCGAGGGGAUUGCUUUCUGAUGUUCAGCUUCUAAUCGUCUAAGGACAAUUUCUUGAAUGCUUGACCUCAAAUCAGGUAGGACUACCCGCUGAACUUAA